UGUAGAUCCACAGUUCAGCAGGACAUCAGCUUGUUUCAUUGGCGCUUCUUUUCUUGGUGUCUGCAAUCAGCGGCUCCGAAAGAUUGCUGUGGCAAUGUGAGUGCUCUUUUGUGACAUCCAGCAAGCUGCUGCUUCCAGCUCUGCCUUAAAUCACCGUUGAAAUAGCUGUCAAAAUAAGCUGCUAAAAUCUGCAAA
Molecule: long non-coding RNA, 195 nt
Filed under: Coturnix japonica (Japanese quail)
Lineage: Eukaryota; Metazoa; Chordata; Aves; Galliformes; Phasianidae
Description: lncRNA (ENSCJPG00005018061.1)
Source: RNAcentral